Molecule: long non-coding RNA, 2302 nt
Organism: Oncorhynchus keta (chum salmon)
Lineage: Eukaryota; Metazoa; Chordata; Actinopteri; Salmoniformes; Salmonidae
Exons: 6
Source: RefSeq, a predicted model, not a curated record
GGAAGGGUAACGUUGGAGGGUUUGGAAGGGUAACGUUGGAGGGUUGGGAAGGGUAACGUUGGAGGGUUUGGAAGGGUAACGUUGGAGGGUUGGGAAGGGUAACGUUGGAGGGUUGGGAAGGGUAACGUUGGAGGGUUUGGAAGGGUAACGUUGGAGGGUUUGGAAGGGUAACGUUGGAGUGUUGGGAAGGGUAACGUUGGAGGGUUUGGAAGGGUAACGUUGGAGGGUUUGGAAGGGUAACGUUGGAGUGUUGGGAAGGGUAACGUUGGAGUGUUGGGAAGGGUAACGUUGGAGUGUUGGGAAGGGUAACGUUGGAGUGUUGGGAAGGGUAACGUUGGAGGGUAGGGAAGGUUAAAGUUGGUGUUUACGAAGGAUGUAGUUGGAACGUUAGUGUGUAUCUAAAUAAUCGAUAAUAUGUCAACCAGACAAUAGCGUAUUCAAUAGAACGGAAAAAGAACGAAGGGCGUGCACAGUCUCGAGCGCAAACCAGUACUGCAUGCUUCCCCAGUCCCCUAACCAAAAGGUAUUUUUCUUUGUCGUUUUUUCAGAAAACAAGCCUGAAACCAUGUCUAAAGACUGUUGACAUCUAGUGGAAGCCAUAGGAACUGCAAUCUUGGCCCUAACCAAUUACAUAGUCAAUAGGCAUUCAAUGGAAAACCACUCACAUUAAAAAAAUCCCACUUCCUGGAUGGAUUUUCCUCGGGUUUUCACCUGCCAUAUCAGUUCUGUUAUACUCAGACAUUUUUUUAACAGUUUUAGAAACGUCAGAGUGUUUUCUAUCCAAUUCUACCAAGUACAGUGGGGCAAAAAAGUAUUUAGUCAGCCACCAAGUGUGCAAGUUCUCCCACUUAAAAAGAUGAGAGAGGCCUGUAAUUUUCAUCAUAGGUACACUUCAACUAUGACAGACAACAUUUUUUUUAAAAUCCAGGAAAUCACAUUGUAGGAUUUUUUAUUAAUUCAUUUGCAAAUUAUGAUGGAAAAUAAGUAUUUGGUCAAUAACAAAGUUUAUCUCAAUACUUUGUUAUAUACCCUUUGUUGGCAAUGACAGAGGUCAAACGUUUUCUGUAAGUCUUCACAAGGUUUUCACACACUGUUGCUGGUAUGUUGGCCCAUUCCUCCAUGCAGAUCUCCUCUAGAGCAGUGAUGUGGGGGGUGGCAGGGUAGCCUAGUGGUUAGAGUGUUGAACUAGUAACCGGAAGGUUGCAAGUUCAAACCCCCGAGCUGACAAGGUACAAAUCUGUGAUUAUGAUUGGUUAAGUUAGAUGGGUGAAGUUGGAGGGUUACGAAAGGCUAAAGUUUGUAUUAGGAAGUCUACAGUGGAUUAGGAAUGGUAAAGUUAGGGUUGACAUUAGGACGGGUAAAGUUAGGGUUGACAUUAGGAAGGGUAAAGUUAGGGUUGACAUUAGGAAGGGUAAAGUUAGGGUUGACAUUAGGAAGGGUAAAGUUAGGGUUGACAUUAGGAAGGGUAAAGUUAGGGUUGACAUUAGGAAGGGUAAAGUUAGGGUUGACAUUAGGAAAGGUAAAGUUAGGGUUGACAUUAGGAAAGGUAAAGUUAGGGUUGACAUUAGGAAAGGUAAAGUUAGGGUUGGCAUUAGGAAGGUGAAGUUAGGGUUGGCAUUAGGAAGGUGAAGUUAGGGUUGGCAUUAGGAAGGUGAAGUUAGAUGGUUUAUGGUUAGGAAGGUGAAGUUAGAUGGUUUAGGGUUAGGAAGGGGUGAAGUUAGGGUUGGCAUUAGGAAGUUGAAUUUAGAUGUUUUAGGGUUAGGAUGGGUGAAGUUAGGUUUGGCAUUAGGAUGGUGAAGUCAGAUGUUUUAGGUUUAGGAAGGGUGAAGUUAGAUGGUUUAGGGUUAGGAAGGUGAAGUUAGAUGGUUUAGAUUUAGGAAGGGUGAAGUUAGAUGGUUUAGGGUUAGGAAGGUGAAGUUAGAUGGUUUAGGGUUAGGAAGGUGAAGUUAGAUGGUUUAGGUUUAGGAAGGUGAAGUCAGAUGGUUUAGGGUCAGGAAGGGUGAAGUUAGAUGGUUUAGGUUUAGGAAGGGUGAAGUUAGAUGGUUUAGGGUUAGGAAGGGUGAAGUUAGAUGGUUUAGGGUUAGGAAGGUGAAGUUAGUUGGUUUAGGGUUAGGAUUGUGAAGUUAGGGUUGACAUUAGGAAGGUAAAGUUAGAUGGUUUAGGGUUAGGAAGGUGAAGUUAGAUGGUUUAGGUUUAGGAAGGGUGAAGUUAGAUGGUUUAGGGUUAGGAAGGUGAAGUUAGAUGGUUUAGGGUUAGGAAGGUGAAGUUAGAUGGUUUAGGUUUAGGAAGGGUGAAGUUAGAU